RNAcentral lists this long non-coding RNA (1405 nucleotides) under Selaginella moellendorffii. Its description in RNAcentral is "long non-coding RNA (SMOE_LNC001317)". Lineage: Eukaryota; Viridiplantae; Streptophyta; Lycopodiopsida; Selaginellales; Selaginellaceae. The record is from RNAcentral.
CCAACUGCCACAGUGGAUGCUGUCUUACCAGCACACAAGGAAAUCGAGGCCGAAGAGAGCAUAGAGCCGGCCGAGGUGGCUGUGGAUGACCAGGUGGAGAAUGUCGAGCCCAGGGAGAGUGGUUCAGUCGCGAUCCUGGAGGAGGGAGAAAAGUUGGCGGUGCCAGAGAUCGACAGUGGUGCACCUGAUUCCAUGCAUGCGACAGAUCCCAUGGUGGAGGACACACAGGGAGCAUGUCCUGCCAGUGAAGACAUUCACGAGCUUGUGGAAAAGGAGCAAACCAAAGUCGAUGUGCCACAGCAAGUUUCCGAACGCGAGGUCGAGCUUCCCAUUCCAGUAGAAGAACUCCCAGAGUCGGCAAACGAAGCCGUCCAGGAGCCAGAGCCUGUUGCUGAGGCCGUUCCCGGGACAGAGGCCGUGCCUGAGGCUGCUGAGGAACUUGCCCAGGAGGUGGAACUGGCCGAGCCACUCGUAGCUCAAGUACCAACGGCCACAGUGGAUGCCGUCUUACCCGCACACGAGGAAAUCGAGGCCGAAGAGAGCAUAGAGCCGGCCGAGGGGGCUGUGGAUGACCAGGUGGAGAAUGUCGAGCCCAGGGAGAGUGCUUCAGUCGCGGUCCUGGAGGAGGGAGAAAAGUUGGCGGUGCCAGAGAUCGAGAGUGGUGCACCGGAUUCCAUGCAUGCAACAGAUCCCAUGGUGGAGGACACACAGGGAGCAUGUCCUGCCAGUGAAGACAUUCACGAGCUUGUGGAAGAGGAGCAAACCAAAGUCGAUGUGCCACAGCAAGUUUCCGAACGCGAGGUCGAGCUUCCCAUUCCAGUAGAAGAACUCCCAGAGUCGGCAAACGAAGUCGUCCAGGAGCCACAGCCUGUGGUUGAGGCCGUUCCCGGGACAGAGGCCGUGCCUGAGGCUGCUGAGGAUCUUGCCCAGGAGGUGGAACUGGCCGAGCCACUCGUAGCUCAAGUACCAACUGCCACAGUGGAUGCCGUCUUACCCGCACACGAGGAAAUCGAGGCCGAAGAGAGCAUAGAGCCGGCCGAGGGGGCUGUGGAUGACCAGGUGGAGAAUGUCGAGCCCAGGGAGAGUGCUUCAGUCGCGAUCCUGGAGAAGGGAGAAAAGUUGGCGGUGCCAGAGAUCGACAGUGGUGCACCGGAUUCCAUUUCUGCGACAGAUCCCAUGGUGGAGGACACACAGGGAGCAUGUCCUGCCAGUGAAGACAUUCACGAGCUUGUGGAAGAGGAGCAAACCAAAGUCGAUGUGCCACAGCAAGUUUCCGAACGCGAGGUCGAGCUUCCCAUUCCAGUAGAAGAACUCCCAGAGUCGGCAAACGAAGCCGUCCAGGAGCCAGAGCCUGUUGCUGAGGCCGUUCCCGGGCCAGAGGCCGUGCCUGAGGUUGCUGAGGAAC